UCGGGAAUUUUGGGCAAUGGGCGAAAGCCUGACCCAGCAACGCCGCGUGAAGGAUGAAAUUUUUCGGAAUGUAAACUUCGCAAGAAUGGGAAGAAUAAGUAGGGGAUAAUACCCCCUAUGAUGACGGUACCAUUUGUAAGCUCCGGCUAACUCCGUGCCAGCAGCCGCGGUAAUACGGGGGGAGCAAGCGUUGUUCGGAUUUACUGGGCGUAAAGGGCGCGUAGGCGGUCAUGACAAGUCACUUGUGAAAUCUCUGGGCUUAACUCAGAACGGUCAAGUGAUACUGUCAGACUAGAGUGCAGAAGGGGCAACUGGAAUUCUCGGUGUAGCGGUGAAAUGCGUAGAUAUCGAGAGGAACACCUGCGGCGAAGGCGGGUUGCUGGGCUGACACUGACGCUGAGGCGCGAAAGCUAGGGGAGCGAACGGGAUUAGAUACCCCCGUAGUCC
Molecule: ribosomal RNA, 447 nt
Filed under: uncultured bacterium
Lineage: Bacteria
Description: bacterial SSU rRNA
Rfam family: Bacterial small subunit ribosomal RNA
Source: RNAcentral